This 1234-nucleotide ribosomal RNA is filed under the name Streptococcus pneumoniae SPN072838. RNAcentral describes it as "bacterial LSU rRNA". It matches the Rfam family "Bacterial large subunit ribosomal RNA", at positions 1564 to 2824 of the family's 2925-position model. The record is from RNAcentral. Lineage: Bacteria; Bacillati; Bacillota; Bacilli; Lactobacillales; Streptococcaceae.
CUGCCCUUUACGGCCAUCGUCGUAAUGCUCACGGUUACCGUGAUUGCUUGCAUGAGUUUGAUGAACGCUUACCUGAAAUUAUCGCAGCUAUGAGAGAGAAUGACCUUCUCUUGAUUACUGCGGACCAUGGAAAUGACCCCGUAACUUCGGGAGAAGGGGUGCUGACUUUAAGUCAGCCGCAGUGAAUAGGCCCAAGCAACUGUUUAUCAAAAACACAGCUCUCUGCUAAAUCGUAAGAUGAUGUAUAGGGGGUGACGCCUGCCCGGUGCUGGAAGGUUAAGAGGAGUGCUUAGCGUAAGCGAAGGUAUGAAUUGAAGCCCCAGUAAACGGCGGCCGUAACUAUAACGGUCCUAAGGUAGCGAAAUUCCUUGUCGGGUAAGUUCCGACCCGCACGAAAGGCGUAAUGAUUUGGGCACUGUCUCAACGAGAGACUCGGUGAAAUUUUAGUACCUGUGAAGAUGCAGGUUACCCGCGACAGGACGGAAAGACCCCAUGGAGCUUUACUGCAGUUUGAUAUUGAGUGUCUGUACCACAUGUACAGGAUAGGUAGGAGUCUAAGAGAUCGGGACGCCAGUUUCGAAGGAGACGCUGUUGGGAUACUACCCUUGUGUUAUGGCCACUCUAACCCAGAUAGGUGAUCCCUAUCGGAGACAGUGUCUGACGGGCAGUUUGACUGGGGCGGUCGCCUCCUAAAAGGUAACGGAGGCGCCCAAAGGUUCCCUCAGAAUGGUUGGAAAUCAUUCGCAGAGUGUAAAGGUAUAAGGGAGCUUGACUGCGAGAGCUACAACUCGAGCAGGGACGAAAGUCGGGCUUAGUGAUCCGGUGGUUCCGUAUGGAAGGGCCAUCGCUNCACGGAUAAAGCUACCCUGGGGAUAACAGGCUUAUCUCCCCCCAGAGUCACAUCGACCGGGGAAGGUUUGCCACCCUCGAUGUCGCUCGUCGCAUCCUGGGGCUGUAGUUCGUCCCCAAGGGNUUGGGCUGUUCGCCCAUUAAAGCGGCACGCAAGCUGGGUUCCAAACGUCUUGAAAAAGGUUCGGUCCCUAACCGUCCCGGGCGUUAGGAAAUUUUAAAAGGAUUGCUCCCUGUACGAAAGACCCAGAGUGGACUUACCGCUUGGGGUACCAAUUUUCUUUGCCAAAAGCAUCCCUUGGGUACCUUUUGUUGGGAAAGGGAUAAACCCCUAAAGCCUUUUAAGUGGAACACCCCCCUCAAGAAGAAAUUUCCCCUGAUUUAU